This 330-nucleotide ribosomal RNA is filed under the name uncultured Glomus. Its description in RNAcentral is "eukaryotic LSU rRNA". Lineage: Eukaryota; Fungi; Glomeromycota; Glomeromycetes; Glomerales; Glomeraceae. The record is from RNAcentral.
CAGUUACCGGCUGGGUAAUCAGCCUUUCGGCGUGAUUAUGUGGAGCGUGAGGAGUUAAACGCCCUCAUGCCUGCAUAUUCGUGUUCUUUGGGUGUACUUACCCGCAUGGUAGGUUAACAUCAAUUUCGAACGUCAUAAAAUGGAUUGGAGGAAUGUAGCUUCCAUCUCGUAUUGAAGUGUUAUAGCCUCCGGCAGAUGUGAUGAUCAGGAUUGAGGAUUGCAACGGAUACCCUUCGGGGCUACCCGUCUGAUCUCUGAAAGUUACUCUGGUGCCGAAAGCUCGCUUACGGUCAUCAAAGUUGACGUUCAACAGGUUAAGAACGGGAUAAA